RNAcentral lists this transfer RNA (93 nucleotides) under Arenicellales bacterium. Its description in RNAcentral is "tRNA-Ser". It matches the Rfam family "tRNA". Rfam says of the family: Transfer RNA (tRNA) molecules are approximately 80 nucleotides in length. The record is from RNAcentral. Lineage: Bacteria; Pseudomonadati; Pseudomonadota; Gammaproteobacteria; Arenicellales.
GGAGAGGUGGCAGAGAUGGUUGAUCGCACCAGGUUGCUAACUUGGCAAACGGAGUAAUUCGUUUCGAGGGUUCGAAUCCCUCCCUCUCCGCCA